UACGAAGGGGGCUAGCGUUGCUCGGAAUCACUGGGCGUAAAGCGCACGUAGGCGGUUUCUUAAGUCAGGGGUGAAAUCCUGGAGCUCAACUCCAGAACUGCCUUUGAUACUGGCAACCUUGAGUCCGGGAGAGGUGAGUGGAACUGCGAGUGUAGAGGUGAAAUUCGUAGAUAUUCGCAAGAACACCAGUGGCGAAGGCGGCUCACUGGCCCAUUACUGACGCUGAGGCACGAAAGCGUGGGGAGCAAACAGG
RNAcentral lists this ribosomal RNA (253 nucleotides) under uncultured bacterium. RNAcentral describes it as "partial 16S ribosomal RNA". It matches the Rfam family "Bacterial small subunit ribosomal RNA", at positions 524 to 776 of the family's 1533-position model. The record is from RNAcentral.